AUUGAACGCUGGCGGCAUGCCUAACACAUGCAAGUCGAGCGGAUGAAGGGAGCUUGCUCCUGGAUUCAGCGGCGGACGGGUGAGUAAUGCCUAUGAAUCUGCCUUGUCGUGGGGGAUAACGUCCGGAAACGGGCGCUAAUACCGCAUACGUCCUGAUGUAGAAAGUGGGGGAUCUUCGGACGUCACGCUAUCUGAUGAGCCUAGGUUGGAUUAGCUAGGUGGAUGGGUAAAGGCCUAGCAAGGCGACGAUCCGUAACUGGUCUGAGAGGAUGAUCAGUCACAUUGGCAGUGAGACACGGCCGCGACUCUUACGGGAGGCAGCAGUCGGGAAUCUUGCGCGAUGGGCGAAAGCCUGAUACAGCAAUGCCGCGUGUGUGAUGAAGGUCUUCGGAUUGUAAAGCAAUGUAAGCUGUGAGGAAGGGCAGUACGUUUAUACGUUGCUAUAUUGACGUUACCAACAGAAUAAGCACCGGCUAACUUCGUG
RNAcentral lists this ribosomal RNA (484 nucleotides) under uncultured bacterium. Its description in RNAcentral is "partial 16S ribosomal RNA". It matches the Rfam family "Bacterial small subunit ribosomal RNA", at positions 30 to 507 of the family's 1533-position model. The record is from RNAcentral.